UGAGGAAUUUUGCGCAAUGGGCGAAAGCCUGACGCAGCAACGCCGCGUGAGUGAGGAAGGUUUUCGGACCGUAAAGCUCUGUCGAGCGGGAAGAAAUGCAUGGUGGCUAAUAUCCAUCAUGCUUGACGGUACCGCUAAAGGAAGCACCGGCUAACUCCGUGCCAGCAGCCGCGGUAAUACGGGGGGUGCGAGCGUUGUUCGGAAUUAUUGGGCGUAAAGAGCGUGUAGGCGGCCGAAUAAGUCAGAUGUGAAAUCCCUGGGCUUAACCCAGGACGUGCAUUUGAAACUAUUCGGCUAGAGUAGGGGAGAGGAAAGUGGAAUUCCUGGUGUAGAGGUGAAAUUCGUAGAUAUCAGGAGGAACACCGGUGGCGAAGGCGACUUUCUGGCCCUAUACUGACGCUGAGACGCGAGAGCGUGGGUAGCAAACAG
RNAcentral lists this ribosomal RNA (429 nucleotides) under uncultured bacterium. Its description in RNAcentral is "bacterial SSU rRNA". It matches the Rfam family "Bacterial small subunit ribosomal RNA", at positions 355 to 775 of the family's 1533-position model. The record is from RNAcentral.